Molecule: long non-coding RNA, 621 nt
Filed under: Bos indicus x Bos taurus (hybrid cattle)
Lineage: Eukaryota; Metazoa; Chordata; Mammalia; Artiodactyla; Bovidae
Description: lncRNA (ENSBIXG00005022479.1)
Source: RNAcentral
AUUGGGAGAGAGCAUGUUUACAGAAGGAAUCAAGCUGAAGAGAGCUCAUGAAUGCGAGUCUUAUUUUCAGCAUGACUGGUGUCCUUGUAAAAGGGAAGUUUGGACACAGAUAAACGCAGAGUGAGCACAGCGUGAAGACGUGAGGGGGAUGCCGUUGGCACGCCGAGGCCAUGGAGGAUCGCUGCCGGUGGCCAGCAGAAGCCAGGAAAGGGCCCUGUAACAGAGACCUCAGAGGGAACUUCCGGCUCCAGAAGUGACAGACAAGACGUUUCUGUCCGUGGUGCAUUGCUGCACCAGCCCCAGGAAACUGACACAGUGGACUGGAAGGCCCUACGGGUCUCCAGAGGCCUGGAGACCACAGCAUGGGAGACAAGGAGGGUGAAGUUGCUCCAGAGCGAGGACACACCAAGGCCCUGAACAGUAAGGAGUAGACCACAGUAUAUGGCAAUAUUUUAAACUGAUUCUUUUUUCUUUUCUUUUUUUGCAUUAAAAUUCAUGUGCUGGAAGGAAAUUUGAAAAAAAAAUUACUUGUUAGCAAUUUCUGACUGUGGCUUGCAUAUCAAGUUCCCUAGAGAAAACUUAAAUUCUAAAUCCACAAUAAAGCCUGAGUUAAUAGGGCCA